RNAcentral lists this long non-coding RNA (718 nucleotides) under Lathyrus oleraceus (garden pea). RNAcentral's name for it is "Pisum sativum (pea) long non-coding RNA (PSAT_LNC008471)". Lineage: Eukaryota; Viridiplantae; Streptophyta; Magnoliopsida; Fabales; Fabaceae. The record is from RNAcentral.
UCAUUCUUAUCAUGCUAAAUCAUGCAUCAAUCUAAUGUUGUGUGAAAUUUUUGAAAAUGAUAGAGGCAUUGUUUGUGAGAAAAACCACUUGACCAAAAAGCUUAAAUCAACUAACCUUGUGAGGAGUAAUCCUUAGUUAACCCCCUUUGAGCUUAUUUUAGGAUUCAUUUGAUUGAUCAUUGUAAAAUCAAUUGAAAAUUGUGGAAUAAAUGAAUCCUAAUUUCUUUCGUAUCAGUUGAAACCUCAAACCGAGUUGUUUGCAAAAUUUUGCCUUUUGCUUAUGUCUAAGUAGGGAGCAUUUUUGAAUAAAUUUGGUUUUGGAAUCUAAAGUUGGGGAGAGUAAAGUGAAAAGUUGAUUAGAAACUUGGAAAAGUGAGUUUCUAUGAAAGGGUAAGAAUAUGAAAAGAAACAAGAAAAAGAAAUCACCCUUGAAACCAUAGAGCAUAGAAAAAAAAAUUUAGAAAAAGAAAAGCAAAGGAAAUGCUCAUGGUUGUGUGGAUUUGAAAAGAAAAAGAAAAAGAAAAAGAUAGGGAUCAAAGAAAGGGAAAUUGUGUAGAGUUGAAUGUUUGGGAAUGCUCCCUUAGGAUAGGCAACUUUGUUGAAUUCUCUUAAUCAUAUCCUUUCUUGUAACCUAAGCCACAUUACAACCUUUGAAAGACCUCUUGAUUCUCAUUUUUCACAUGAUUUGGUACUUGUUGUGAUAACCGCAUGAUUUGAG